RNAcentral lists this unclassified non-coding RNA (330 nucleotides) under soil metagenome. Its description in RNAcentral is "partial contains 5.8S ribosomal RNA, internal transcribed spacer 2, and large subunit ribosomal RNA". The stretch from base 1 to 120 matches the Rfam family "5.8S ribosomal RNA", at positions 35 to 154 of the family's 154-position model. The record is from RNAcentral.
GAUGAAGAACGUAGCGAAAUGCGAUAAGUAAUGUGAAUUGCAGAAUUCAGUGAAUCAUCGAAUCUUUGAACGCACAUUGCGCCCCUUGGUAUUCCGAGGGGCAUGCCUGUUCGAGCGUCAUUAUAACCCCUCAAGCUUAGCUUGGUGUUGGGGCCUGCUGUAAUAGAGCAGCCCUUAAAAUCAGUGGCGGUGCCAUUAGGCUCUAAGCGUAGUAAUUCUCCUCGCUAUAGGGUUCUGGUGGAUGCUUGCCAUUAACCUCUAAUUUUCUAUGGAUGACCUCGGAUCAGGUAGGGAUACCCGCUGAACUUAAGCAUAUCAAUAAGCGGAGGA